Molecule: ribosomal RNA, 127 nt
Filed under: Candidatus Nitrosopumilus sp.
Lineage: Archaea; Thermoproteati; Nitrososphaerota; Nitrososphaeria; Nitrosopumilales; Nitrosopumilaceae
Description: Nitrosopumilus sp. partial 16S ribosomal RNA
Rfam family: Archaeal small subunit ribosomal RNA
Source: RNAcentral
UUUGACUCCGGUUGAUCCUGCCGGACCCGACUGCUAUCAGAGUGGGACUAAGCCAUGCGAGUCAACAUAGCAAUAUGUGGCAUACGGCUCAGUAACACGUAGUCAACAUGCCCAGGGGACGUGGAUA